Non-coding RNA from Rattus norvegicus (Norway rat), 804 nucleotides. Lineage: Eukaryota; Metazoa; Chordata; Mammalia; Rodentia; Muridae. The record is from RefSeq and is a predicted model, not a curated record.
GGGCUCCGAGGCCGAGUUGCAUCCUUUGGAUCUUAGAAUAAACUGAAGGAGGCUGUCAACUCAGUCACAUGAAGAAUGUGAGAGGAGUGAGAAGACAGUAGCAGGCCAUUGUGACACUGCCCUCCCAAUGGAAACAUGGAAGUGUUGAAAAUUACAGAGUGGGAGUCUCAUGUCUGAACUUUGACACCCAGCUAGGAAAAGUGUAACCUAUCAGUUCACUUCCUGAGUACCAUUCACAAUCCAAGGGUAUGCUCAGAUGAAGCACUGUUGAAGGGUCUUCUGGGAAGGCAACAUUCCAACCUUCUAUUAUCAAUGAGCAAGGGGAGCAGAUUAAGAAGUUGGAGAAACCUGACUAUUGAGCUCUAGAGGAAGACCUCUAUGGAGAUUUUCUUGUUGACUGAGCUCAUAGCUUGAUACUUGAAGUCUGGUAGACUAUGGAAAGUGGAGAUGCUUUUGGAGGAAGUUGCUUAGAUUGGAGGAGCUGAGAAACAGUGAGCAAGAGUAAGAUGUUGAUCCACCACCUGAUCCCUUGCUGAGAACAAAGUCUCCUCUUCACAGCCUGGGAACUGGAUCAAUGAAUGAUUCUUGUAAAGCAACUCCUAGAAUUAACUUCUGAGACCAACCAUCAGCCCGUGAAAUAAUGUGAGAAAGAAGAAAUUCGGGAUCUCUCCAGACUGUUGGUUUCAAAGCAACAGCCAAAAGUGUCCUUUCUAUGAAUGAUACAUAUACACAUUAUAACUGGAUGGAUACAAAGUUUCUUCAGGUCCAUGAAUGAGUUAUUCAACAGUUGACCUGGCUCAGCAA